RNAcentral lists this long non-coding RNA (5947 nucleotides) under Nothobranchius furzeri (turquoise killifish). RNAcentral's name for it is "lncRNA (ENSNFUG00015000819.1)". Lineage: Eukaryota; Metazoa; Chordata; Actinopteri; Cyprinodontiformes; Nothobranchiidae. The record is from RNAcentral.
AUGUUCAAAGAGAAAUACGGACAACAAGGAACGAAGGACUUCCGCCGUUUGGAGCGAUUACACCAGAAACGCGCACGUCUAAGAAACCACCUUCGCUUCUGUUUAAGAUGCCGGGACGAAAACAUCACACCCACAAGCCUACAGCUGAAAACACCGAUCCGGACCAAGACAGCACAAAAUAUAAUAGAAAGAGCACAGAGAGCACUGCUCAAGGAGAGGAUAAGGAACGUCAUAACCAAACAGAGGCGUGUGGAGGACGAACUGGAAAGAGGACACCUGGACUUGAAAAGGAAUUACAAACUUGAUAAACAAAUGGAGGAACUAAUUAAAGGACACAUGAUGGAAAAACAGGAAAAAGAGUUCAUAAAAGUAAAAGAAAGACACAUAAAGAAGUUAAACAGACUCAUAAACAAGAAAAAGAGGGGAGAAAUACAAGGCAACUCCACACCAAACUCAUGGGUAUGUAACAUUUCACAAUACAAACUAACAGAAGCAGAAGAGAGCAUAUUAAAGAAAGGUUUAAACUUUGCAGUCACACCAAAAGAAAUACCAUAUGAUGAAUUUAUUGUAGCAACAGAACUAGCAUGUCAACAGAUCACAGAUGAGGGAAAGAAAGCAGAACUCAGAAAUAACGUAGUUGGGAUAUUAAAAAACAGCCAAAUUCAACACAGCAAUAUUACAAAAGAAGAACAAUCAGCCAUGACAGCUUUAUCCAAAAAUGAACAGAUAAUUAUUCUACCGGCAGAUAAAGGAAGAACCACAGUAGUUAUGGACAGAGAAAAAUAUAAACAACAGAUGAAACAGAUGCUAGAAGACAAAAAUACAUAUGAAAUACUUAAAAAAGAUCCAACAGAAAACAUUAAGAAAAACAUGAAAAAAUUACUGAAGCCACUGCACGAAAAAGGCAAAAUAACAGAAAAAAUGUACAAACACUGGAUUCCCACAGCAAACAUAACACCAAGAAUAUAUGGAACACCAAAAAUACAUAAACAAAACACCCCACUUAGACCAAUAGUUGACAGCAUAGGUACACCAACAUACAACAUGGCAAAAGAUAUCAGCAGAAUCAUCAGCCCGUUAUUAGGAAAUACAGACCAACACUGCAAAAAUAGUAUAGAAUUGGCAAAAGAACUAAAGGAAAUUACAAUAGAAGACAACGACAUACUCAUCUCACAUGACGUCACAUCUCUGUUCACAAAAACACCAACCCAAAAAACCAUAGACAUAGUAGUUAACAGAAUCAGACAAAUCGGAAGAGAAACAAGUCUUACACACAAAGAUGUUUAAAAGCAGGAGUACAAAUUAUUUUUGUUUUCUUGAAGUUCUUUAGAACAGUGCUUGAUGUGUUGCUUUUUGAGAUCGUUUAGCCCUCUCUAUGUAGUCAGACUGGACCUAGUGAAGCGACAGUCUAUCGCUACAGACCAUCCAGCCCGGGUGAAGCUGGAUGAAUUUCACUCAGCUUUCCUGAAAACAAGGUGAAUCACACCAAAAGUUUAAUGGGGAGGGCAAUUUCUUUGUUCCCUUUAAUAAAUUAAAUCAUCAUUAAAAUAUGUUAGUGUAGAUCAGGGGUAGGCAUUCAGUUAGGUGUGCUGGAGCUAAAGCCUGUUGGACAGCAGCACCCCAGGACCAGGACUGCUUACCGCUGGUGUAGAUUCAACGGUAAUAGAAACAAAAAGGUGAGAAAAAUAUUAGAAGUACGCUUUCCUUUUUAAAUGUUUUUUCAAAAAUGGAUUUCAAGAUUACAUGAAAUCCUCUCAGCAUCCAGACUCUGAUCCUUACUAAAGGAGGAGAAGAAAACGAGUCAUGAUGACAAAACCGUGCCAUCCGUUUGGCAGCAAACACCGGAACAGUUAAGGUGGGAAUCCAUGAAAACUCAAUCGCCACAUUUGUGCUUUUUUUCUCCUGAGCGUCGUCAGUGUGUGUUGCAGUGAAUGAAACAAGAUGUACUCACACAAUGGGAGAGACAUAAAUCAAGCUUGUUCUGUGGCAAAUGAUCAAUUAAUUCAUUUAAACAUGUUUAUGUUCCACUUUCUGUCCUUCUAUUACAAACAGGAGAUAACACCGAGACCUCAGAUCAGGACUGUGUUCGGCUACGAGGACGAUACCAGAUUUCUGCACGGCUAAUUACAGGCUAGAGGGGGUACGAGUUCAGCCAAACAGCUUAAAAACACAUCAGAGAGAAAUGCUUCUUCUCCCUUCAAAGCUUUGUGAAUGCACGUCUCUUCAAACCGCCCACUGCUAAUAUGCUGUACCACUGAAAGGAGCCAUGAUAAGUGAAAUGAGUUAAAUGACUGUCGGAUUCCCCGUGCACGUGUCUCUGCACGUUCUACUGCAGGAUCUGCUUUCAGAUCUGUCUGUAGGACAAGCUAAAAGAAUGUAAAUGCAAAGUAAUGGAUGAUGAUUCAUUCACUAAAAUGUGUGGGAGCUUUUUUUGUUGUUGUUUGUUUUGGGGAAUAGUUUAAGAUUUUGGUUUUAGGAUAGAUCAAAAUUAUUAUUGAUUUAGGCCAAACUGUUAGACUGGGUGUCCAGCUCCGGUCUCCUGAGCAUAAAUCAUGUGUUUUUAACCAUUUUCCUCCUCCUACAUGUGCAGACAGUGUCGUUCUUGCAUAAAUAUCCAGACACCAACUCUAAUGGACACUUUACCUAAAAGGACACCAGCAGGUCUGACUUCACAGCAGAUUUAAGUGUCCUAGAAAUAAGAGGUUGGACAGACAGAGUUAAAUACACCUCAAGGUGCAGGCCUCCAGCGGACACAGGGAUGUGGAUGUCUACUGUUGUAACGAGUGCUGAAACCAAUUUCGUCUGAGGCUAAGGAGAAGAAUUUUCCUCCAAAAUUUGCUUCAAAAAAUGAAUGAAUCUGUGAAAUCCUUGAACAAAUAUCACAAAAAUGCAAAAACUAGAUACUUCCAGGAAAGGGGUUGUUUAUUUUUGUUUAUAACUAAAACAAUCUGAAUGGAAAAGACUUGAAAUCUUAGAGACUAACCCGACCCAGCCCCUUUUCCUUCACACACACACACACACACACACACACACACACACACACACACACACACACACACACGCACGCACACACACGCACACACACAUCAGGUAGACGGUUGGAAAUCCAAGCUACUUAUGCUCACCUUGGGAAAUGUCGGAGCUGGUCUGAAUAUAUUGAGCGUUUGCUUCCCACACCUGCUGGUUUUUGCCACUUUUAUCUCAGAGCAUCUCCCCAGAAGAACAGGAGGAUAUUCCAAGAAGCUAUGAAAGCAGAAUGCAACAGAAAAUACGUUUAUGAAUUUGUGAUAACUUUUAAACACAAAUAUUCCCAGAGGGGUUCACAGGUAACCAGAGUGCCGUGAUCUGCUGACAUCUGAUACCGCUAAGGAGACGUCGCUCUGUUUUCUGGUCUACGGGAUGCCUUUCGCAUUCAACAUGCUAACCCGUUCCACCGUCCCGGAGCUCCAGUUACCGCCUUCUCCUUCUCUUUGUGCAUGUCUGCAUUCAGCACGGAGAGAGAUAAUAUUUAAGGGCCUGAGGCAGGAUUUACCUGUUUUCACUGCUUAGUGGCUUGUUAUAAGUGUGUGUGUGUGUGUGUGUGUGUGUGUGUGUGUGUGUGUGUGUGUGUGUGUGUGUGUGUGUGUGUGUGUGUGCAUGUGUGCGUGCGUGUUUGUUUGUGAGAAAGUGUGUUUGUGUGUGUGUGUGUGUGUGUGUGUGUGUGUGUGUGUGAGAGAGAGAGAGAGAGAACAGGGUAAAUUACACGUGGAUGUUUACUCAGAACUAACGUAACAUCCACUUUCUCAGAACAUAAAUUUCUGCCAUAAUUAAAAACUUCACAGACGAUCAGCGAGGAAGAGCCUGAUGUGCAGGACAGCAUUUGAUCUGCCUGCAACUUUCCACCAAAUAAAUAGAGGGUAUCGGCUUUCCCACAGAGCCCACUAAUUGAAUGAGCGUCCUCAUUUUAUUUUCUUUUUGUGAGUGCCACUUUGAAUCAUAUCAGUGUAGGUUUGAUAAUGUUGAUUUGUGUGGCAUGAAGAAACCACAGCUGACUGAAAUACUUGGUCUUUGAAUUCUAAUCAGAUUGGUUUCCAGUAAAAAUAUUUGCCCAAUCAAUGGCUUUCCUCCAGAGAGAAAGCCAAACAGUCAUCACACCACGGGUCAUUAGGCAGAGUGGGCACAUGCCUCAGAAAGCCCCUUAAGUAAAAAGGUACACAACAGAACUGGGUACGUCAGUGGAAACAGAACCUCGUUACUGUAAGAGAACGUAAUAACUGAGAACGGCUUCAGGCCGAGUUUACACAAAACUCUGAUUAAAAUACUGGAAAAGAACGGUGCCAGUGAUAGAGCCUCUAACUGGGUGUUUUUUCCUCUGAGUGAAAAAUAGAAAACAGUUACAUUCAGUGAGAUUUUAGGCAGAAGAGAAAUGGAAUGAAGGUCAGGUAGCACCUGUUUAACAUCAGCAGCUAACAGCAGGAACUUGAAUCAAACCAUCUGGGUUCAGCGCUGCCCAUCAGAUUACUGCUUGGCAUGCAGUGUGUGUGUGUGUGUGUGUGUGUGUGUGUGUGUGUGUGUGUGUGUGUGUGUGUGUGUGUGUGUGUGUGUGUGUGUGUGUGUGUGUGGGAGGGGGAAAGACACAAAUUUAUAGGAAAAUGCAACAAAGAAAAAGUCCAAAUAGUUUGUUUGUUAGUGGAAAUUUCUGUUGGGGUUAAAGCUUUCAUUCCAUCCAGCGCAUGCACGGGUGUCUGCACAGAUAGUAAACGUCCAGCUGAAUAACGCGAGCCUCGUAAAAACUGGAGGCACUCAAACGACUUCUUCCACUCACAUGUUGCAGAAUCGGGGCUCUUUGUGGGAAUCUUUCGGUUUAUUUAUGUGUUUCGUCUCUCUUUUUCAUUGAGGAACAUAAGAUAUUUCUGAUGCUCCUAAUUUUACAUAAACAUGUAAACAAUCACAAUCAGAGACCUACAGUAAUAUUAAAAGGGAGGAGUGUGUUAAGAUAUCAGCUGGCAGAAAGUUUGUUUUGAUUUCCCAAGAACGUUGAUGUGAUGGGUUUUUGCAUCUGGACCAGUGCCUGCUCUUCUCAGAGAUGGAUCAUUUCACUCCCGUCUCUCUGACACAAACUCACCUUUAAGGAAGUCCAGUCAAACGAGGAGGAAAGUUAAAAAUCAAUCAUGUUACUGUCACAAAAAAAGUGAGCUAAAAAAGUGAGCUAGAAGGUGUGAGAUACAUCUCACAUGCAUGCUCCUGGAAUGUUUGACCUUAACCCUCUCAGGCUCAAAAAAAGUUCUGACAAAAGGACGAACAACUAAGUCCUUCAGGGGUUCUGAGUUAAAAAAUGAUCAUGCUGAGUUAAUAAAUUCUACUCAUGUGGAGUAACCAGAUAGGUAGGUUUCAACGUUGCAAAUCUGCAACGCCUGCUUCCAGAGGGUUUAAAAUUCUUAUAUGCCAAAUUUACACUCAUAAAAAGGGGUUUUGGUGACUUUGUUUAGCAGGAUUGUUGAAACGUCUUUUUGUUUGUUUGUUUUGUUUUUGUGUUGCAAUGAAACAAGAAGUUAAAGCCUCCAUCUGAAGUAUUUUUACCUGUUUACUAUCAAGUUUGGUGUAUCCAGUCCACAUACUUGUCCCUUUUUAUUAAUAUUUCUCACAAACAUCAAUACUAAUUAUUCCUCUCAGCUAUAAAUGUUAUCUUUUUAAAUACCUAAACUGUGGUCAACGCUCCAUGGUCAUCCACCAUCUGGAGAUACAGAAGCUAUUUAGGGACAUACAAGCUCUGCGUUAAGUGUGCUGGAGCAGGGAAACAACUUAAACAUGCUGGACAGGAACCCAAGAGGACCAUGGCUGAACACCAGUGGUGUAGAUGGCCUGUAUUUGAUAUAGCGCCAUCUAGAGUCCUGGAACCCCCCAAGGCGCUUUACAACACAAUCAGUCAUUCACCCAUUCACACACACAUUCACACACUGGUGGGGAU